Molecule: ribosomal RNA, 301 nt
Filed under: uncultured bacterium
Lineage: Bacteria
Description: partial 16S ribosomal RNA
Rfam family: Bacterial small subunit ribosomal RNA
Source: RNAcentral
CAGUAGCCGCGGGAAAACGUAGGUGGCAAGCGUUGUCCGGAAUUAUUGGGCGUAAAGCGAGCGCAGGCGGUUAGAAAAGUCUGAAGUGAAAGGCAGUGGCUCAACCAUUGUAGGCUUUGGAAACUGUUUGACUUGAGUGCAGAAGGGGAGAGUGGAAUUCCAUGUGUAGCGGUGAAAUGCGUAGAUAUAUGGAGGAACACCGGUGGCGAAAGCGGCUCUCUGGUCUGUAACUGACGCUGAGGCUCGAAAGCGUGGGGAGCGAACAGGAUUAGAUACCCGAGUAGUCCCUGUCUCUUAUACU